ACCUUUGCGCAGUGGCAGUAUCGUAGCCAGUGAGGUUUAUCCGAGGUGCGAUUAUUGCUAAGAAAUUCCCUUUCUCUCUUGUUCCAGGAUCGGUGUCACACACACAAGCUCCCACAAGUACAAUUGUUACCAUGACAAUGCCUUCACACUCGUCCCAUGCUACUGCCGUGACCACCUCAAACAUACCAGUUGGUAAGUGUC
This 201-nucleotide small nuclear RNA is filed under the name Cervus hanglu yarkandensis (Yarkand deer). Its description in RNAcentral is "U4 spliceosomal RNA (ENSCHYG00000016826.1)". The stretch from base 1 to 61 matches the Rfam family "U4 spliceosomal RNA". The record is from RNAcentral. Lineage: Eukaryota; Metazoa; Chordata; Mammalia; Artiodactyla; Cervidae.